CCUACGGGAGGCAGCAGUGAGGAAUAUUGGUCAAUGGACGAGAGUCUGAACCAGCCAAGUAGCGUGAAGGAUGACUGCCCUAUGGGUUGUAAACUUCUUUUAUAUGGGAAUAAAAUGUUCCACGUGUGGGCUUUUGUAUGUACCAUAUGAAUAAGGAUCGGCUAACUCCGUGCCAGCAGCCGCGGUAAUACGGAGGUUCCGAGCGUUAUCCGGAUUUAUUGGGUUUAAAGGGAGCGUAGGUGGAUUGUUAAGUCAGUUGUGAAAGUUGGGGGCUCAACCGUAAAAUUGCAGUUGAAACUGGCAGUCUUGAGUACAGGAGAGGUGGGCGGAAUUCGUGGUGUAGCGGUGAAAUGCUUAGAUAUCACGAAGAACUCCGAUUGCGAAGGCAGCUCACUGGACUGCAACUGACACUGAGGCUCGAAAGUGUGGGUAUCAAACAGGAUUAGAUACCCUAGUAGUC
RNAcentral lists this ribosomal RNA (460 nucleotides) under uncultured bacterium. RNAcentral's name for it is "partial 16S ribosomal RNA". It matches the Rfam family "Bacterial small subunit ribosomal RNA", at positions 338 to 795 of the family's 1533-position model. The record is from RNAcentral.